CAAGCUUGCUUGGUGGAUCAGUGGCGAACGGGUGAGUAACACGUGAGCAACCUGCCCUGGACUCUGGGAUAAGCGCUGGAAACGGCGUCUAAUACUGGAUAUGAGGCGUGAUCGCAUGGUCAACGUCUGGAAAGAUUUUUCGGUCUGGGAUGGGCUCGCGGCCUAUCAGCUUGUUGGUGAGGUAAUGGCUCACCAAGGCGUCGACGGGUAGCCGGCCUGAGAGGGUGACCGGCCACACUGGGACUGAGACACGGCCCAGACUCCUCGGGGAGGCAGCAGUGGGGAAUAUUGCACAAUGGGCGGAAGCCUGAUGCAGCAACGCCGCGUGAGGGAUGACGGCCUUCGGGUUGUAAACCUCUU
This 360-nucleotide ribosomal RNA is filed under the name Microbacterium testaceum. Its description in RNAcentral is "bacterial SSU rRNA". It matches the Rfam family "Bacterial small subunit ribosomal RNA", at positions 75 to 435 of the family's 1533-position model. Lineage: Bacteria; Bacillati; Actinomycetota; Actinomycetes; Micrococcales; Microbacteriaceae. The record is from RNAcentral.